AAAACAUGUCUCUUAGAAAUCAUUAAGAGUCAGGCCUGCCCAGUGAUUGCUUUUUAACGGCCGCGGUACCCUGACCGUGCAAAGGUAGCAUAAUCAUUUGCCUUUUAAUUGAAGGCUGGUAUGAACGGUUUGACGAGAGUAAAGCUGUCUCACAUAUACUUAAUAAAAAUUAAUUUAAAGGUGCAAAAGCCUUUAUUACCCAAAAAGACGAGAAGACCCUGUUGAGCUUUAAUUUAGCCCAAGUAUUAACUAUAUAUUAAUAUAAUUCACUUACUCGGUAAAAAUUUUAAUUGGGGCGAUUAAGGAACACACAAAAGCUUCCUGAUUAUUCAGUAAAAUAUUCAAUAGAUUAAAUCGAUCCAGCAAUGCUGAUCAACAAAAUGAGUUACCACAGGGAUAACAGCAUAAUUCUUUUUGAGAGCUCAUAUCGAAAAAAGAGAUUGUGACCUCGAUGUUGGACUAGGGUAACCGGAAGGUGCAGCCGCUUUCCUGCUUGGUCUGUUCGACCAAUAAUUCCCUACGUGAUCA
This 528-nucleotide ribosomal RNA is filed under the name Vitta virginea. RNAcentral's name for it is "partial 16S ribosomal RNA". It matches the Rfam family "Bacterial large subunit ribosomal RNA", at positions 1810 to 2606 of the family's 2925-position model. The record is from RNAcentral. Lineage: Eukaryota; Metazoa; Mollusca; Gastropoda; Cycloneritida; Neritidae.